AUUCCUAUUUUUCCACUACCACCACCUUUUUGCUAUCCACCACCCCGGAUCAACCAAGUAAAAAAUGGAUACUUAUCGGUAAUACUGUACGAGUAUUAUUCGCAAAUUCUGUAAAAUUAUUUCAUUCAAAUUUGAAUUUUUCUUUUCUCUCACAUAGAACUGGUAGUUGAUAAAUUUUGAAGUUGAAAUAGGUGAACCCAAUCAUCAUCGAUACGAAUUGAAGAAGCAAGCAGCAUUAAGGUAACAUAAUCAAACAUUAUUCACACUUUCUUAUGUUUAUAUUUUCUUAUAGAAGUUUGUUAGUAACUAACUAACCGUUGUUUUUCGAUUUUUCUCUAAUCUCCACAUUCCCACUUUCAUUUUAUAACCGUCACUUCAAUGCUGUCUUUGUUGCACUGCCUGCAAUUUGUUGCCUCAGAUCAGAUCCAGAUUCAUCUGGUAAAUAAUUCUGUUUUCAGAUUGAUUGAUUGUUGAAUGAACAAUCAAAUUGGUCUAUGUCUUUGUAAAUCACUAUCAAAUAAGUUUCCGAAUUUGUUAUCUAAAGGUGGAUGAAAUAAUUUGAUACAUAAGAAGAUGGCAUCAAAGCAAAUGGAAGCUAUUCAGAAGAAAUUAGGAAUGCUAAACUAUCCAAGGGCAAAUGCAUCUGCUCAGUCCCUUUUAUUUGCUGGCAUGGAGCGCUAUGCCCUUUUUGAAUGGCUCUUCUUUCGGUAUCUUCUUUUCUCUGUCAUUAAAAUCCAUUCUGAUUUUGUUGGCGCUUAUGAACAAGGUUUAAAAUCACAGUUGUGUUGCGUUUUUUAUAUUUUGCAAUAAUUAUAAUCAAAUUUUGGCUGUCAAAAUGUUUAACAACCGCUUUUCUAAAACCUUCCUUGUAAAGUUGUUUUCGAAAACAAGUUAACGGAAACUGGAAUUCUUAAGGUGUUAGAUUUGCGUAAUAAUCUUUCAUAGUUCAUACAACCAUCUGGAUGAUAAGGAUUUAUAGUGCAUGUUUUGGAAUUGACGCGCAUUUCUUAACUGUUUCAGAGUUAAAAUUAGGCAGGUGAAAAUAGGGGCAGACUGCAGUUGAAAAUUUGGAACAAAAAUUUAUUUUUCUCUUGCUUGGUGUUUUCAAUAACCCCCAAAGUGUUUUCUUCUAGCUAUGCUUCUGUAGCUUGAAAGUAAUUUUUACUGAUUAUUUUGCCAAUUUUCUAUUUUCACGAUGUUUUGGAUUUCCUUGUUUGAGCGUAUUUGCAGCAGUGCUGCUAACACUUCUGUGAUGUAUUGAUUUCCAUGGUAAGAGUUAGACCUAAUGAUCUUUGAUGUUUGUACUUGCAACAGGCUAUUAGGUGAUAAGUCACCCUUCUCUCAACAAAACUUACAAGGGGAUGCCCUUGAUCGGGAUGAGGAGACGGCUCGAAUUCAAUGUAAGAGGUUUCUUUUUCUUUGUUUCGAAAAUUAAAAUUUUGUUGGUUGAAACUAGUAGGAAGGAUCUAGAGAUUAAUGAGUUGGAUCCAAAUAUGGUUUAUGACAUAACAUUAUGACGUAAUUUGAUCCAUAUAGCCAACCCCACUUGGUAGGAUAAGGCUUGGUUGUUGUUGUUGUUUGAUACCUCAGCAUCCAAGCUUUAUUUGCAACCGAGUUUUGCAACACUGAGGACCAAACUAUUGCUUGUUUAAAGAUAUGAUAUGAGCUACUUUUUUUUUAAAGAUUUGUGCCACUUAAAAUGGUACUUCCUUCGUUUCUAAAUAUAAACAAAUUUUACUUUUUAGAUUCAUUCAAUUAAUGAUGUAUGUGGUCCAUACUAGAGGUUCUUGGAAAAGAUCAUAGGUUCUUGGAACCAUAUAUGCAUUUUGCAAACUCAUCAAUCACAUGUUAACCCCGAAAAGAAUCAUACUAGUUCAUGCGACAGUCUGGCACUAAGCAAUGCUAAUCCACAUGCAUGUUUGAUGCUUGCAUGGCUACCACGCGGUAGUCAUGCACCCUUUUUCAGUAAAAUAAGGACUUAUAUGGUAAUCAUGCAAAGAGUCUCCUUAAACAAAUUAACUUUGAAGAACACAGACUCAAUCAAAUUUUUAUGAUAACAAAUAAACUCGAUAGAAUAAUUUUACCAUCUAAUGUUUGUUUGAGUGUGCUAAUAAUUUUUUUUAAUAAAUACAUUGUCUCAUGCAUUUGACAUCUCUAUAUUGAGAACAAAGUUGAACAAAGAGCGUAAUCUUGCACAAGCUUUGUCACUAAACUCUUUGUUUCGAAUAGGGAUGGACAUAAGUCGAAUCGAACUCGUCUGAGGUUGACUCGAUUUUGAUAUGAAUCUUUUUUCUUUUUACCACAAGUUAGUUUCGUUUAACCUUCACGAGCAACUUGAUUUAACACAUUUCGUUCAACUCAUUCGUUCAAAUCAUAUGAUUCAAAAGUCAAUUUUUUUGUCUAAAAAGGUCCAAAAAAAAAAAAUAACAGACCUCUGACCAUCACUUUUUUGAAAAGGAAAAGAUUGAACUAAAGUAAAAGAUAUCAUAAACAUAAAAUGAUUAAAGGAUAGUCACAAAUUCACUCUUCAAACGAAUAAAUAUGCAGAUAAAAAUAGAAAACUAAAAACCUAUCUGUUGUUAUAGACACUUCAAAAGAAAAAUACAAAAACAUGUCAAAUUUAUUAGGGUAAUUAAUUGUUCAAAAUGAUCUUGUAAUACACGUGAAUUCUAAAAAAUAACCCUAUAAAAAUAAAAGACAUAUUUUAAACUUGUAAUUUGAGAUUCUUCUUAUUUUUGACCAUAUAAUAUAUAUGAAGUCUAGAAAAGUGUCAGAGGUUCAAUUUUCAUGAUUUUUUUUGCAUACUGUUUUAGGAUGUUAAAAUACGGCUUUCCAAAAAAAAAUUGGAAUUUUCUGGCAAGAGAAAGAUUAAUUAUGAGUUUUCGUUCCCCAUAAUUAUGAAUUUCUUGGAUAAUUCAUAAUAAAUUUGUUUAUCGUUUAAAAACUCCAAAAUUUCAUUGUGAAGGUUCUUAUAACGUUCUCAUAAUGCCUAAAAAUUAAGUGAAUGUUUAGUCAGACCAAAAUUGGAAUUUCAUGGUAAAGGUUUUUAAAUCAAGACGUUUUUUUAUUGAGUUUUUUGUGCUUUAAAAAAAUUCCUAAUUCAUCCGUCCCUUGUGAGAAAAUUUUAUCUUCUUUAUGGAAAGCCAUAUUUUAAUGUCAUGAAUAUCACACUUUUAAAAGAAAAACACUUCCUAAACAUAACUCCAUAAAAUCAUAAAAAAUUCAAUCUCUAUAGUUUUUUUUGGACUAUAAAGUGAAAAAUAAGAAGAAUAUCAAAUUACAACGUUAGAAUAUAUUUACGGUCUCAUUUUUCAUAUUUCGUAUAUGUUACAUGACUAAUUUGAAUAAUUAACCAAAUUUAAGCUAAAAAAUAAAAAUAAAACCCAACAAAUUUUCAACUGAAUUAUAUUAUAUAUAUAGGUAUGUUGGUAAGCUUAUUCUAAAUUUAUAGCUUAUAGCUUAUGUCAUAUAAGCUUAGUAACAAUCAUCUUUUUAUGAACUUAUAUCUUAUUUUUAUGAGCGUAUAUCAUUUUGUGAUAAGCUAAUUCAAGUAGCUUACAUAUUAAAGAUUACUUCCUUCAUCCUAUAAUAAGUGAGUCAUUUGUAAAAAAUAGUGUCCCAAAAAAAUUGACUCAUUUCACUUUUCAAUACAAUAUUAAUUACUUUUUUUUCUUUCUUCCAGUUAUAACUUUAAUAUUCUACAUUACAUUUAAGAUAAAGAAUAAUGCACUAAUACUUGACUAAAGCACUCAAAACCAUUCUCUAUCUCUCUCUCUCUCAUACAAUACAAUUUUUCUUAGGCUUAAUAGCAGUUUUGUCCCGCUAAGUAUCAGAAAGUUGCGAUUUUGACCCCUUAAUAACAAAAUAAAUUACAACUCACUUUUGAAGUUUUAACCCCUAGAUCAAUUUUGACCCACACACGUGGCUCCUCACUUAAAAUGUUGGAUGCCACAUGUGUAAUUUUAAAUUUAAAAAAUCCAAAUAUGGCUAUUCUUGUUUCUUCUACUCUUGUGGUUUAUAUUUCAACCGUCAUUUAUGCCUUAACUCACUAGAUUUGGAAUGAAAUCAUGUUUGAUUAGUAUGUUUUAUAUGAAAUGGACUGAAUUGGUUUUUUUAAAGAAGAAAUUCUGGGUUUUUUUAAAGAAGAAAUCACGUGUCAUUCCUUUUUUAUUUUUAUAUUUAUUGUCUUUAUUUAAUUCAAAAAUACAUAUUUGAAUUUUUUAAUUACUUUUAAAUUGAAAAUUACACACAUAACAUCCAACUCACUUAAGUGAGGUUCCACAUGUGCGUUGUUCGGGUUAAAAUUGGUAUGAAAACAAAAGUGCAAAAAAGGUAAUACUUAGAGAGCUGAGUUGUAAUUUAUUUUGUUAGAAGACCAAAAUCACAAUUUUCUGAUACUUAGAAGCUAAAACUGCUAUUAAGCUUUUUUUAAUAGGUGUAAAUCGAACAAAAACAAAACUCACUUUCAUCUCAAUAUCACCAUUGCAAUCUUGAUUGACUAUUUUCCCAAUUUCUUUUUUGUGGUGGGUGGGAUUUGAACUCAAACCUUGUAUAUAUUAUGCAUUAUCCCUACCAACUGAGCUAAGCUCACGAGGACAUUUAUUUAUCCAAUUUCUAACCUUAUUAUAGUAGUACAAUAAAAAAAUCAAAAUAUUUAUUCCUAUUUUUCCACAACCACCACCUUUUUGCUAUCCACCACCCCGGAUCAACCAAGUAAAAAAUGGAUACUUAUCGGUAAUACUGUACGAGUAUUAUUCGCAAAUUCUGUAAAAUUAUUUCACCAUUUUAGAAGUAUCUAUGCCUAAGAGAUACUCAUUCAAAUUUGAAUUUUUCUUUUCUUUCACAUAGAACUGGUAGUUGAUAAAUUUUGAAGUUGAAAUAGGUGAACCCAAUCAUCAUCGAUACGAAUUGAAGAAGCAAGCAGCAUUA
Molecule: long non-coding RNA, 4929 nt
Filed under: Medicago truncatula (barrel medic)
Lineage: Eukaryota; Viridiplantae; Streptophyta; Magnoliopsida; Fabales; Fabaceae
Description: long non-coding RNA (MTRU_LNC003170)
Source: RNAcentral